ACGGAAGGCAGCAGUGGGGAAUAUUGGGCAAUGGGCGAAAGCCUGACCCAGCAACGCCGCGUGAAGGAAGACGGUCUUCGGAUUGUAAACUUCUUUUAUGAUGGACGAAGGACGUGACGGUACCUCAUGAAUAAGCCACGGCUAACUACGUGCCAGCAGCCGCGGUAAUACGUAGGUGGCAAGCGUUAUCCGGAUUUACUGGGUUUAAAGGGCGCGUAGGCGGGGAUGCAAGUCAGAUGUGAAAUCUAUGGGCUUAACCCAUAAACUGCCUUUGAAACUGUAUUUCUUGAGUGCUAGAGAGGUAGAUGGAAUUCGUUGUGUAGCGGUGAAAUGCGUAGAUAUAAGGCAGAACACCAGUGGCGAAGGCGAUCUACUGGACAGUAACUGACGCUGAGGCGCGAAAGCGUGGGGAGCGAACAGGAUUAGAUACCCUGGUA
RNAcentral lists this ribosomal RNA (437 nucleotides) under uncultured Oscillospiraceae bacterium. RNAcentral's name for it is "bacterial SSU rRNA". It matches the Rfam family "Bacterial small subunit ribosomal RNA", at positions 341 to 792 of the family's 1533-position model. Lineage: Bacteria; Bacillati; Bacillota; Clostridia; Eubacteriales; Oscillospiraceae. The record is from RNAcentral.